GUGAAUGUAGCUCAGUUGGUAGAGCACCAGGUUGUGGUUCUGGUGGUCGUGGGUUCGAUCCCCACCAUUCACCCCA
This 76-nucleotide transfer RNA is filed under the name Candidatus Babelota bacterium. Its description in RNAcentral is "tRNA-His". It matches the Rfam family "tRNA". From Rfam's summary of the family: Transfer RNA (tRNA) molecules are approximately 80 nucleotides in length. The record is from RNAcentral.